CUCCCUACCAGCUCAAGCUUAACAACUACAGGCGGAGAGUUGGCUUCCUCUCAAUAACAUUCCUGUUAUGAACACAACCAGCUGCUAAGAGCUCACUUCAGUAACUGCUAUGAAAAGCGCCAGGGAUUUUCCUAUCAGCUGACGAGGCAGUCACCAGAGCGGCCAGCCCUCGGACCAGCUGGAUGCCUGCUGGGAUUGGCUCGGCCUCUCCACUUCACGUCCCCAGACUUCUGCCACCACAGGAAGUGACUCUCUCGCUCUUUGCAUUUAUGCCAGCGUGCAGAUCUGCUCCCCUCUGCUUGCCUAUAAGACUUGCGCUCCUGCACUACCUUCCGAACACCUCCUCAGCUAAACACUCCAUUCAAGUGUGUUUGUGUCAUGUCCACUGUGGUAUGUUUUUAGGAAGACACUACAUGAAAAACCUUAUA
Alosa sapidissima (American shad) is the source of this 428-nucleotide long non-coding RNA. RefSeq lists it as uncharacterized. Lineage: Eukaryota; Metazoa; Chordata; Actinopteri; Clupeiformes; Clupeidae. The transcript is spliced from 3 exons. The record is from RefSeq and is a predicted model, not a curated record.